Molecule: ribosomal RNA, 1367 nt
Filed under: Latilactobacillus sakei subsp. sakei
Lineage: Bacteria; Bacillati; Bacillota; Bacilli; Lactobacillales; Lactobacillaceae
Description: bacterial SSU rRNA
Rfam family: Bacterial small subunit ribosomal RNA
Source: RNAcentral
GGGUGAGUAACACGUGGGUAACCUGCCCUAAAGUGGGGGAUAACAUUUGGAAACAGAUGCUAAUACCGCAUAAAACCUAACACCGCAUGGUGUAGGGUUGAAAGAUGGUUUCGGCUAUCACUUUAGGAUGGACCCGCGGUGCAUUAGUUAGUUGGUGAGGUAAAGGCUCACCAAGACCGUGAUGCAUAGCCGACCUGAGAGGGUAAUCGGCCACACUGGGACUGAGACACGGCCCAGACUCCUACGGGAGGCAGCAGUAGGGAAUCUUCCACAAUGGACGAAAGUCUGAUGGAGCAACGCCGCGUGAGUGAAGAAGGUUUUCGGAUCGUAAAACUCUGUUGUUGGAGAAGAAUGUAUCUGAUAGUAACUGAUCAGGUAGUGACGGUAUCCAACCAGAAAGCCACGGCUAACUACGUGCCAGCAGCCGCGGUAAUACGUAGGUGGCAAGCGUUGUCCGGAUUUAUUGGGCGUAAAGCGAGCGCAGGCGGUUUCUUAAGUCUGAUGUGAAAGCCUUCGGCUCAACCGAAGAAGUGCAUCGGAAACUGGGAAACUUGAGUGCAGAAGAGGACAGUGGAACUCCAUGUGUAGCGGUGAAAUGCGUAGAUAUAUGGAAGAACACCAGUGGCGAAGGCGGCUGUCUGGUCUGUAACUGACGCUGAGGCUCGAAAGCAUGGGUAGCAAACAGGAUUAGAUACCCUGGUAGUCCAUGCCGUAAACGAUGAGUGCUAGGUGUUGGAGGGUUUCCGCCCUUCAGUGCCGCAGCUAACGCAUUAAGCACUCCGCCUGGGGAGUACGACCGCAAGGUUGAAACUCAAAGGAAUUGACGGGGGCCCGCACAAGCGGUGGAGCAUGUGGUUUAAUUCGAAGCAACGCGAAGAACCUUACCAGGUCUUGACAUCCUUUGACCACUCUAGAGAUAGAGCUUUCCCUUCGGGGACAAAGUGACAGGUGGUGCAUGGUUGUCGUCAGCUCGUGUCGUGAGAUGUUGGGUUAAGUCCCGCAACGAGCGCAACCCUUAUUACUAGUUGCCAGCAUUUAGUUGGGCACUCUAGUGAGACUGCCGGUGACAAACCGGAGGAAGGUGGGGACGACGUCAAAUCAUCAUGCCCCUUAUGACCUGGGCUACACACGUGCUACAAUGGAUGGUACAACGAGUUGCGAGACCGCGAGGUUUAGCUAAUCUCUUAAAACCAUUCUCAGUUCGGAUUGUAGGCUGCAACUCGCCUACAUGAAGCCGGAAUCGCUAGUAAUCGCGGAUCAGCAUGCCGCGGUGAAUACGUUCCCGGGCCUUGUACACACCGCCCGUCACACCAUGAGAGUUUGUAACACCCAAAGCCGGUGAGGUAACCCUUCGGGGAGCCAGCCGU